GGGGCUGGGGCUCAGUGGAAGAGCACUUAUCUUACAUGUGUGAGGCCCUGAGUUCGAUCCUCAGCACCA
Molecule: transfer RNA, 69 nt
Filed under: Urocitellus parryii (Arctic ground squirrel)
Lineage: Eukaryota; Metazoa; Chordata; Mammalia; Rodentia; Sciuridae
Also listed under: 1 other name
Description: Spermophilus parryii (Arctic ground squirrel) tRNA
Rfam family: tRNA
About the family: Transfer RNA (tRNA) molecules are approximately 80 nucleotides in length. Their secondary structure includes four short double-helical elements and three loops (D, anti-codon, and T loops).
Source: Rfam by way of RNAcentral